UACCCGCUGGACUUAAGCAUAUCAAUAAGCGGAGGAAAAGAAACUAACAAGGAUUCCCCUAGUAACUGCGAGUGAAGAGGGAAGAGCUCAAAUUUAAAAUCUGGCAGUCUUAUGUCUGUCCGAGUUGUAAAUUAGAGAAGCGUUAUCCGCGCUGGCCUGUGCAAAAGUCUCUUGGAAAAGAGCAUCAUAGAGGGUGACAAUCCCGUCUUUGGCACAGACUACCAGGGCUUUUGUGAUGCGUUCUCGAUGAGUCGAGUUGUUUGGGAAUGCAGCUCUAAAUGGGUGGUAAAUUCCAUCUAAAGCUAAAUAUUGGCGAGAAACCGAUAGCGCACAAGUACCGUGAGGGAAAGAUGAAAAGAACUUUGAAAAGAGAGUUAAACAGUACGUGAAAUUGUUGAAAGGGAAACGCUUGAAGUCAGUCGUGUCCUUCAGAAAUCAACCUGACUUUCGUUGGGCGUACUUUCUGUUGGAUGGGUCAGCAUCAAUUUUGAUCGUUGGAUAAAGGCCUCGGGAAUGUGGCAUCUUCGGAUGUGUUAUAGACCUUGGUUCGCAUACAAUGGUUGGGAUUGAGGAACUCAGUGUGACUUAUGUUUGGGGCUUCGGCCUACACUACGCACUUAGGAUGCUGGCAUAAUGGCUUUAAUCGACCCGUCUUGAAACACGGACCAAGGAGUCUAACAUACAUGCGAGUG
This 692-nucleotide ribosomal RNA is filed under the name Clavicorona taxophila. Its description in RNAcentral is "eukaryotic LSU rRNA". It matches the Rfam family "Eukaryotic large subunit ribosomal RNA", at positions 22 to 692 of the family's 3401-position model. Lineage: Eukaryota; Fungi; Basidiomycota; Agaricomycetes; Agaricales; Clavariaceae. The record is from RNAcentral.